GGUGUUACAUCAUAUCAAUAAUCCAUCUUUGAUAGUUAUCUGAAUACCAACACUAAAUGUUCAAAUGUUCACAAAUGUUCUUUGUGCACACUAUACAGUUCCAUAAGUUGUUCAGUUUCGUUUGUUUUUAUUCACAUUAUACAGUUCCACUCUUUGUCAAAGUUGUCCACCAUCGUCAUCAGCUGUCUUACUGUCACCAUUGCCAUCUUGGCUGUCACCAUCGUCGUCUAGCAGCUAUCCCAAUGGAACAAGUUGCUUUCCUGUCUUUAAGCUUACGUUGUUGUUGUUUUCUUGUUCACUGAUAACAAUUUAUUGACUUCUAAUCUCUCCUUCUCUCUGCUUUCCCUUGUACACAGAACUUGUAUUACAUCUUUGGAUCAGGAGGUUUCCCACAACUUGAAGGAGGAACUAAUAAACAUAAGGAGAAGUUCCUCGUUUAUCAUGAUGACUAAUU
RNAcentral lists this long non-coding RNA (454 nucleotides) under Androctonus crassicauda. The record is from RNAcentral. Lineage: Eukaryota; Metazoa; Arthropoda; Arachnida; Scorpiones; Buthidae.